This 229-nucleotide ribosomal RNA is filed under the name uncultured bacterium. Its description in RNAcentral is "partial 16S ribosomal RNA". It matches the Rfam family "Bacterial small subunit ribosomal RNA", at positions 568 to 796 of the family's 1533-position model. The record is from RNAcentral.
UGCGUAGGCGGCUUAUUAAGUCAGUGGUGAAAUCUCUCGGCUCAACCGAGAAGCUGCCAUUGAAACUGAUAAGCUUGAGUGUAGUUGUAGUAGGCGGAAUAUAGCAUGUAGCGGUGAAAUGCUUAGAUAGGCUAUAGAACACCGAUCGCGAAGGCAGCUUACUAAACUAUCACUGACGCUCAUGCACGAAAGCGUGGGGAGCAAACAGGAUUAGAUACCCUGGUAGUCC